RNAcentral lists this ribosomal RNA (497 nucleotides) under uncultured bacterium. Its description in RNAcentral is "partial 16S ribosomal RNA". It matches the Rfam family "Bacterial small subunit ribosomal RNA", at positions 28 to 507 of the family's 1533-position model. The record is from RNAcentral.
GAUGAACGCUGGCGGCGUGCCUAAUACAUGCAGGUCGAGCGAACGGACGAGAAGCUUGCUUUUCUGAUGUUAGCGGCGGACGGGUGAGUAACACGUGGAUAACCUACCUAUAAGACUGGGAUAACUUCGGGAAACCGGAGCUAAUACCGGAUAAUAUUUUGAACCGCAUGGUUCAAAAGUGAAAGACGGUCUUGCUGUCACUUAUAGAUGGAUCCGCGCUGCAUUAGCUAGUUGGUAAGGUAACGGCUUACCAAGGCAACGAUGCAUAGCCGACCUGAGAGGGUGAUCGGCCACACUGGAACUGAGACACGGUCCAGACUCCUACGGGAGGCAGCAGUAGGGAAUCUUCCGCAAUGGGCGAAAGCCUGACGGAGCAACGCCGCGUGAGUGAUGAAGGUCUUCGGAUCGUAAAACUCUGUUAUUAGGGAAGAACAUAUGUGUAAGUAACUGUGCGCAUCUUGACGGUACCUAAUCAGAAAGCCACGGCUAACUACGUG